ACACGUGGGCAAUCUGCCCUUCACUCUGGGACAAGCCCUGGAAACGGGGUCUAAUACCGGAUACCACUCCUGCCUGCAUGGGCGGGGGUUGAAAGCUCCGGCGGUGAAGGAUGAGCCCGCGGCCUAUCAGCUUGUUGGUGGGGUAAUGGCCUACCAAGGCGACGACGGGUAGCCGGCCUGAGAGGGCGACCGGCCACACUGGGACUGAGACACGGCCCAGACUCCUACGGGAGGCAGCAGUGGGGAAUAUUGCACAAUGGGCGAAAGCCUGAUGCAGCGACGCCGCGUGAGGGAUGACGGCCUUCGGGUUGUAAACCUCUUUCAGCAGGGAAGAAGCGAAAGUGACGGUACCUGCAGAAGAAGCGCCGGCUAACUACGUGCCAGCAGCCGCGGUAAUACGUAGGGCGCAAGCGUUGUCCGGAAUUAUUGGGCGUAAAGAGCUCGUAGGCGGCUUGUCACGUCGGAUGUGAAAGCCCGAGGC
RNAcentral lists this ribosomal RNA (481 nucleotides) under Streptomyces virginiae. RNAcentral's name for it is "bacterial SSU rRNA". It matches the Rfam family "Bacterial small subunit ribosomal RNA", at positions 113 to 608 of the family's 1533-position model. The record is from RNAcentral. Lineage: Bacteria; Bacillati; Actinomycetota; Actinomycetes; Kitasatosporales; Streptomycetaceae.